AGUGAACGUUGGCGGCGUGGAUUAGGCAUGCAAGUCGAGCGAGAACCGUAGCAAUACGGGGACAGCGGCGAAAGGGACAGUAAUGUGUAGGUACCUACCCCGAGGUCUGGGAUAGCUGCGGGAAACUGCAGGUAAUACCGGAUAAUGUCUUCGGACCAAAGGUGUGAUUCCACCUGGGGAGGGGCCUGCAUCCUAUUAGCUAGUUGGCGGGGUAAUGGCCCACCAAGGCGACGACGGGUAGCGGGUGUGAGAGCACGACCCGCGUCAUUGGGACUGAGACACUGCCCAGACGCCUACGGGUGGCUGCAGUCGAGGAUCUUCGGCAAUGGGCGAAAGCCUGACCGAGCGACGCCGCGUGCGGGAUGAAGGCCUUCGGGUUGUAAACCGCUGUCGUAGAGGAGGAAAUGCAGGUGGGUUCUCCCAUCUGUUUGACCUAUUCUAGGAGGAAGUACGGGCUAAGUUCGUGCCAGCAGCCGCCGUAA
Molecule: ribosomal RNA, 482 nt
Filed under: uncultured bacterium
Lineage: Bacteria
Description: partial 16S ribosomal RNA
Rfam family: Bacterial small subunit ribosomal RNA
Source: RNAcentral